This 220-nucleotide unclassified non-coding RNA is filed under the name Hevea brasiliensis (rubber tree). The record is from RNAcentral. Lineage: Eukaryota; Viridiplantae; Streptophyta; Magnoliopsida; Malpighiales; Euphorbiaceae.
GGCUGCCAUAAUGCCAUAAUUCUUGAUGAAUUGGUGGUAAUAACUCGCCAAGCCGAGAAACUCAUGAAGAGCCUUAGUGGAUUGAGGUUCGAGCCAUUCGGUUAUUGCUCUAAUUUUAUUAUCAUCCAUAGAUACCCCUACAGCGGUAAUUAUAUGCCCCAAAUAUGCGACUUGGGUUUCCCCAAAUGAGCACUUGGAGAGCUUAGGAAAAAGAUAGUAA